AAACCAGCACCUCAAGUGGUCAGGAGGAUUAUUGGGCCUAAAGCAUCCGUAGCCUGCUCUGUAAGUUUUCGGUUAAAUCUGUACGCUCAACGUACAGGCUGUCGGGAAUACUGCAGAGCUAGGGAGUGGGAGAGGUAGACGGUACUCUGGAGGAAGUGGUAAAAUGCUUUGAUCUCUCGAUGACCACCUGUGGCGAAGGCGGUCUACCAGAACACGUCCGACGGUGAGGGAUGAAAGCUGGGGGAGCAAACCGGAUUAGAAACCCGAGUAGUCC
This 274-nucleotide ribosomal RNA is filed under the name uncultured bacterium. RNAcentral describes it as "partial 16S ribosomal RNA". It matches the Rfam family "Archaeal small subunit ribosomal RNA", at positions 473 to 747 of the family's 1478-position model. The record is from RNAcentral.